Molecule: ribosomal RNA, 670 nt
Filed under: uncultured archaeon
Lineage: Archaea
Description: bacterial SSU rRNA
Rfam family: Archaeal small subunit ribosomal RNA
Source: RNAcentral
UUUCCGGUUGAUCCUGCCGGAGGCCACUGCUAUUGGGGUUCGACUAAGCCAUGCGAGUCUAUGGACUUCGGUCCAUGGCGGACGGCUCAGUAACACGUGGCUAACCUACCCUCAGGUGGGGGAUAACCUCGGGAAACUGAGGGUAAUACCCCAUAGGGGAGGAGGUCUGGAAUGAUCCUUCCUUGAAAGGACAUCCGCCUGAGGAUGGGGCUGCGUCCGAUUAGGUAGUUGGUGGGGUAAUGGCCCACCAAGCCUACGACCGGUACGGGCCUUGAGAGAGGAAGCCCGGAGAUGGGGACUGAGACACGGCCCCAGGCCCUACGGGGCGCGGCAGGCGCGAAACCUCCACAAUGCACGAAGGUGCGAUGGGGGAACCCCAAGUGCCUAUGCACAGCAUAGGCUUUUCCCAAGUGUAAACAGCUUGGGGAAUAAGGGCUGGGCAAGUCCGGUGCCAGCAGCCGCGGUAACACCGGCGGCCCGAGUGGUGGCCACUCUUAUUGGGCCUAAAGCGUCCGUAGCCGGUCCAGUAAGUCCCUGUUUAAAUCCUACGGCUCAACCGUAGGGCUGGCAGGGAUACUGCUGGACUUGGGACCGGGAGAGGACGAGGGUACUCUCAGGGGGUAGCGGUGAAAUGUGUUGAUCCCUGGAGGACCACCUAUGGCGAAGGCAC